CUCAGAAAUCAGAGCACAGCUCAAACCUCUGUGAAACUCUUCUUCAAGCAGGGCUAUGCCUGGUGUUCCCUUUCUCUGCUCCAGGCUCUUUAAUGGAGGCAGGGCACCUUGUAACCCUUCUGCAGGAUGGAGCUAAAAAGCCUUACCUGUAAGCAUGAGAAAGCUGAGCAUCAGGCUCUCUGCAGAGGGCCCUGCAGCUGCUCUUAGCAUCUGUCAGAGCAGUAAACAUCCUUCAUGAGUGCUUUGAAGCUGAGAUUACUGAACAGUCACUUGUCCUUAGCUGCUGACACUAGAAAUACUGUUGGACACCAAAGAUUUGAGAUGAAAUCCUGAUGUGUCAGUGCCCUACCCAGCCUGGAAAGGACUAUACUUCCCUGCAUCUCUUCACAGGUAAGCACAUGGGGCAGGGGUCCUUCUCAGUCCCCAUCGUGCCACACUCUGCAGAGGAACCAUUAAGCUACUUCCCAAGUUCAGUGUACGAAGUGUUAAAGGGAGAGAAAUUGCAGACUUCCCCCUCUGCUUUCAGGAGCUUUCCAUC
This is a long non-coding RNA of Pezoporus occidentalis (night parrot), 538 nucleotides long. RefSeq lists it as uncharacterized. Lineage: Eukaryota; Metazoa; Chordata; Aves; Psittaciformes; Psittacidae. The transcript is spliced from 3 exons. The record is from RefSeq and is a predicted model, not a curated record.